This 429-nucleotide ribosomal RNA is filed under the name Actinomycetes bacterium. Its description in RNAcentral is "Actinobacteria bacterium partial 16S ribosomal RNA". It matches the Rfam family "Bacterial small subunit ribosomal RNA", at positions 355 to 776 of the family's 1533-position model. The record is from RNAcentral. Lineage: Bacteria; Bacillati; Actinomycetota; Actinomycetes.
UAGGGAAUCUUCCGCAAUGGGCGAAAGCCUGACGGAGCAACGCCGCGUGAGUGAUGAAGGUCUUCGGAUCGUAAAACUCUGUUAUUAGGGAAGAACAAAUGUGUAAGUAACUAUGCACGUCUUGACGGUACCUAAUCAGAAAGCCACGGCUAACUACGUGCCAGCAGCCGCGGUAAUACGUCGGUGUCAAGCGUUAUCCGGAAUUAUUGGUCGUAAAGCGCGCGUAGGCGGUUUUUUAAGUCUGAUGUGAAAGCCCACGGCUGAACCGUGGAGGGUCAUUGGAAACUGGAAAACUUGAGUGCAGAAGAGGAAAGUGGAAUUCCAUGUGUAGCAGUGAAAUGCGCAGAGAUAUGGAGGAACACCAGUGGCGAAGGCGACUUUCUGGUCUGUAACUGACGCUGAUGUGCGAAAGCGUGGGGAUCAAACAGG